UAAGGACUUCAUUUGACAGUAAACUAAUUUUAGAAUUGACACAAAGUAGUAAGGUUGUUCAUUUUAUUGUACAACAAUGAAUAUUAAUUGUACAUAUCAUAGCUUUAUUAAAUCUGGCAAUACAAAAUAAAUCUAAGCAUAUUACAACACCGCUUAAGUUAAAAAUGAAAGGCCGAGAACUUGACCUAUAAAAUGUAGCCAUUCUUCAAAUCACAAGACUACAUCAAGCCUCUGACAAAGUAUACAAUGCAGUUUCAGGAGUAGAAAUUGCAAGUGUAACAGGUGUGAAGUGACUAGCUGGUUAACGGUGGGAGGCAGUUGUGUUCAGAGGGUCACUGGUACAAGCCCAGGUUGGAGUUAGGACUCAAGUGCCAGAGAAAACAAAAUAUAGGUUACGUUAAUUCCAGAAUGCAUCUCAACCAACAUGUCAUUAUAUGCAGUUGAUUUCCAAGGCACAACCAACAUUUACGCUUCAGAAGUUACAGAACGACAGCCUGCUGUCUGGACACAGGAACCAACAGUCAAAGAGCAGAGUUUAAUACAUCCUCAUCAUGGCCUGCCUCCAUUGAGGGGACCACACCAUAGGGCAGGGAGUGUAUGCCUGCCUAUACUGGGUUGAAGUGGCCGGGGAGGUGUGAUCCAAAUAAUUCCCAUGAGUAGAAAGGUGUUCUCUUCCGUACAAAGGUACAAAGUGUGCCGCCGAUGUUAUUCGUGGCAGUGUAUUUAGUGCAUAUGAACCCUCUAUAAGCGGCCCUGUAGGAGCGAGCCCGCCACAAUGAGAAUGAGCAGCGUGAACGCACUGGACUGCAAGGACGCGCAGGCUCCUUUGGGAAUGGUGAUGUUGGUGGUACUGACAACAUCGGGUACCUUGGUCAUAUUGGAACGCGUGCCGCCGUCAACUUUGGUAGUGUUCACAGUCAUCGCCGGGGACCUUGUUGUAGGCCUACGCCUAAUGUUUUGUGAGAAGACCUAAAAAACAUGAGCAUAGGGUCGCGUCAGUGGCAACAAACUUCGUAUAGAAAUACACAUUUUUUCCCAAUUUAACAAAUCUCACUUACGUCCGACCAAUCAAAAGAGGGUUAACUUCACACGUUUCUGCUAUGGCAAUAUGUUUAAUUGAGACAUUACAUUUAAGUGUCAUCACCUUAUGAAAGAGGCAGUUUUCCCAUACAUUAACUUUAUAAUCUAUA
Molecule: long non-coding RNA, 1190 nt
Filed under: Salmo salar (Atlantic salmon)
Lineage: Eukaryota; Metazoa; Chordata; Actinopteri; Salmoniformes; Salmonidae
Description: lncRNA (ENSSSAG00000083485.1)
Source: RNAcentral